Molecule: long non-coding RNA, 328 nt
Filed under: Populus trichocarpa (black cottonwood)
Lineage: Eukaryota; Viridiplantae; Streptophyta; Magnoliopsida; Malpighiales; Salicaceae
Description: long non-coding RNA (PTRI_LNC002546)
Source: RNAcentral
GGGUUUGGUGCAGGAGCUGGUGCAUGAUGAUGAUGCUUGUGCUUGUGUUUUCUUUUCAUCUUGUGUUUUCCAGGAGCUGGUGCUGGGGAAGGCACUAAUGAUGGUGAGGGGGCUGGUGGUGGAAUAGCUGGUGCUGGCACAGGUGCCGGUGGUGGUGUUGCUGGUGCGGGUGCAGGUACUUCCUUAGCUGGAGCUGGUGCUGGUGGUGGUGUUGCUGGAGCUGGUGCUGGAGACACUUGUGGUGGCGGUGUAGCUGGUGGUGGUAUUGGAGUGGCAGCUGGAGAACUUUGUGGUGGUUGUGGUGGUGGAACUACUGGGGUGGUAGCUG